AGCGUUGUGCAAGCAGGCUCUGGAGACCCGCAGGCUCCUGGGCAGAGGGCUGCCUUCUGUGUGGGCUUGCCCCUCGCCACACCUGGCCAGGAGCCUCCCCCAGCCCCGUGACCCUUGUGUCAGAGCCUGGCCAGAUGACAGACGGCCUGGGGUGCAGGCGAGACCCACUGAACUGGCAGCUGAGGACAGGUCCAGGCCCAGUGGCUGGGGGACUUCUCAGAGCAGGUACCACAACAGCUACCCAAGGACUCAGGACUUUUCUCCCACAGCCAGACUUGGUGAUUGCAUGAAGGAGCCCAGCCUCGGAUGACCUUUCCCCGUGACAAGGCACUAGGAGAGCACAGACCUCCCCACACAAACAGUAAGUCAGCAUGUGGUUAAAAAUGUAA
RNAcentral lists this long non-coding RNA (389 nucleotides) under Homo sapiens (human). RNAcentral describes it as "non-protein coding lnc-RREB1-9:2". Lineage: Eukaryota; Metazoa; Chordata; Mammalia; Primates; Hominidae. The record is from RNAcentral.